Molecule: ribosomal RNA, 260 nt
Filed under: uncultured soil bacterium
Lineage: Bacteria
Description: partial 16S ribosomal RNA
Rfam family: Bacterial small subunit ribosomal RNA
Source: RNAcentral
AGGACGAACGCUGGCGGCGUGCUUAACACAUGCAAGUCGAACGGAAAGGCCCUGCUUUUGUGGGGUGCUCGAGUGGCGAACGGGUGAGUAACACGUGAGUAACCUGCCCUUGACUUUGGGAUAACUUCAGGAAACUGGGGCUAAUACCGGAUAGGAGCUCCUGCUGCAUGGUGGGGUUGGAAAGUUUCGGCGGCUGGGGAUGGACUCGCGGCUUAUCGAGCUUGGUUGGUGGGUAGUGGCUUACCAAGGCUUUGACGGGU